GACGGGCGGAGCUUACCAUGCAAGUCGAGCGGAGAGAAAGUAGCUUGCUACUGGAUCUUACGGCGGACGGGUGAGUAAUGCUUAGGAAUCUGCCUAUUAGUGGGGGACAACGUUCCGAAAGGAACGCUAAUACCGCAUACGUCCUACGGGAGAAAGCAGGGGACCUUCGGGCCUUGCGCUAGUAGAUGAGCCUAAGUCGGAUUAGCUAGUUGGUGGGGUAAAGGCCUACCAAGGCGACGAUCUGUAGCGGGUCUGAGAGGAUGAUCCGCCACACUGGGACUGAGACACGGCCCAAACUCCUACGGGAGGCAGCAGUGGGGAAUAUUGGACAAUGGGCGGAAGCCUGAUCCAGCCAUGCCGCGUGUGUGAAGAAGGCCUUUUGGUUGUAAAGCACUUUAAGCGAGGAGGAGGAACUCUAGAUUAAUACUCUAGAUGUUUGGACGUUACUCGCAGAAUAAGCACCGGCUAACUCUGUGCCAGCAGCCGCGGUAAUACAGAGGGUGCGAGCGUUAAUCGGAUUUACUGGGCGUAAAGCGUGCGUAGGCGGCUUUUUAAGUCGGAUGUGAAAUCCCUGAGCUUAACUUAGGAAUUGCAUUCGAUACUGGAAAGCUAGAGUAUGGGAGAGGAUGGUAGAAUUCCAGGUGUAGCGGUGAAAUGCGUAGAGAUCUGGAGGAAUACCGAUGGCGAAGGCAGCCAUCUGGCCUAAUACUGACGCUGAGGUACGAAAGCAUGGGGAGCAAACAGGAUUAGAUACCCUGGUAGUCCAUGCCGUAAACGAUGUCUACUAGCCGUUGGGGCCUUUGAUGCUUUAGUUGCGCAGCUACGCGAUAGUAGACGCUGGGGAGUACGGUCGCAGACUAAAACUCAAAUGAA
RNAcentral lists this ribosomal RNA (873 nucleotides) under Acinetobacter schindleri. Its description in RNAcentral is "bacterial SSU rRNA". It matches the Rfam family "Bacterial small subunit ribosomal RNA", at positions 38 to 909 of the family's 1533-position model. Lineage: Bacteria; Pseudomonadati; Pseudomonadota; Gammaproteobacteria; Moraxellales; Moraxellaceae. The record is from RNAcentral.